RNAcentral lists this ribosomal RNA (867 nucleotides) under Triticum aestivum (bread wheat). RNAcentral's name for it is "partial small subunit ribosomal RNA". Lineage: Eukaryota; Viridiplantae; Streptophyta; Magnoliopsida; Poales; Poaceae. The record is from RNAcentral.
AUGUUUCGAGUUGGUGGACACGACUGGCGUAUCAGGUGCUACCCGAACGGCGAAGAGGGAUACGAGGGCUUCAUCGGCCUAUACCUCGAGCACGCCAGCCUUGACCGCACCGGUGACGCCACACCGGAUUUCCGCAUGAGCAUCCUUGACCACACCGGGAAGCUAUUGUGGACCGAAGGUCAUGCCCAAUUGUCGGAAGAAAUCGAUGAUGAGAGCAAAGGUGAUGCUCAAACUUUCUCGAUCGGCAAAGGUAUCAUGUGGGGCUGGAGUGAUUUCAUGAAGGUUGAAGACCUGGACGACAAGAAGCACCUCAAGGACGGAUCUCUGAUAAUCGUCUGUGACGUCACCGUCCUUGACAUGCGCACCAUCGAGUACCGUGACGGGAUGGCAUCCACGACUACAACUGUGCCACCAUCGGAGCUGCACCGAGAACCAACGGAGGUCCGCUCAGAGUCCAAAGAGGGGGCUAACCCUGACAUGGAGAUACAGGUCGGCGGGGUGACCUUCCCGGCGAACAGGUCGAUGCUCGCUGCCCGGUCUCCUGUCUUCAAGGAGGAAUUGAUGCCAACAAGUAUACGUGUCGAUGGAAUUGAUGCCGACGUAUUCAAGGCCCUGCUCUACUUCAUCUACACCGACAAGUUGCCGCAAGAGAUAGAGGAGGAAGGGACGUUGGCCAAGAUGGCGAAGCCGCUGCUCGUGGCAGCAGACAGGUACAAGCUGGAGAAGUUGAAGCUGGUCUCCGAGGAGGCGUUGUGCGGGCAAAUCGAUAUGGAAUCCGUGGCCAACACACUAGCGUUAGCGGAGCAGCAUUGUUGCAGCAUGCUGAAGGACGCUUGCACGCAGUUUCUCGCUGACUUCUCGUUCUAA